UGUAAUUAGGUCUAGCUACAU
This 21-nucleotide non-coding RNA is filed under the name Caenorhabditis elegans. The record is from RNAcentral. Lineage: Eukaryota; Metazoa; Nematoda; Chromadorea; Rhabditida; Rhabditidae.